ACCCCGAUGGUGAAACGGAUAUCACGCCUCGCUUCGAACGAGGGAUUCCGGGUUCAACUCCUGGUCGGGGUG
RNAcentral lists this transfer RNA (72 nucleotides) under Planctomycetaceae bacterium SCGC AG-212-F19. It matches the Rfam family "tRNA". Rfam says of the family: Transfer RNA (tRNA) molecules are approximately 80 nucleotides in length. The record is from Rfam by way of RNAcentral. Lineage: Bacteria; Pseudomonadati; Planctomycetota; Planctomycetia; Planctomycetales; Planctomycetaceae.